RNAcentral lists this transfer RNA (77 nucleotides) under Verrucomicrobiota bacterium. RNAcentral describes it as "tRNA-Arg". It matches the Rfam family "tRNA". Rfam says of the family: Transfer RNA (tRNA) molecules are approximately 80 nucleotides in length. The record is from RNAcentral. Lineage: Bacteria; Pseudomonadati; Verrucomicrobiota.
GCACCCGUAGCUCAAUUGGAUAGAGCAUUUGACUUCGGAUCAAAGGGUUGCAGGUUCAAAUCCUGCCGGGUGCGCCA